GUCAGUUUGGCCGAGUGGUUAAGGCGACAGACUCGAAAUCUGUUGGGCAUUGCCCGCACAGGUUCAAAUCCUGUAGCUGACG
This 82-nucleotide transfer RNA is filed under the name Coemansia spiralis. RNAcentral's name for it is "tRNA-Ser". It matches the Rfam family "tRNA". Rfam says of the family: Transfer RNA (tRNA) molecules are approximately 80 nucleotides in length. Their secondary structure includes four short double-helical elements and three loops (D, anti-codon, and T loops). RNAcentral also lists the same sequence under 9 other names. The record is from RNAcentral. Lineage: Eukaryota; Fungi; Kickxellomycota; Kickxellomycetes; Kickxellales; Kickxellaceae.